Molecule: ribosomal RNA, 464 nt
Filed under: uncultured bacterium
Lineage: Bacteria
Description: partial 16S ribosomal RNA
Rfam family: Bacterial small subunit ribosomal RNA
Source: RNAcentral
CGGGUUGCUGCAGCAGUGGGGAAUAUUGCACAAUGGGCGCAAGCCUGAUGCAGCCAUGCCGCGUGUAUGAAGAAGGCCUUCGGGUUGUAAAGUACUUUCAGCGGGGAGGAAGGGAGUAAAGUUAAUACCUUUGCUCAUUGACGUUACCCGCAGAAGAAGCACCGGCUAACUCCGUGCCAGCAGCCGCGGUAAUACGGAGGGUGCAAGCGUUAAUCGGAAUUACCGGGCGUAAAGCGCACGCAGGCGGUUUGUUAAGUCAGAUGUGAAAUCCCCGGGCUCAACCUGGGAACUGCAUCUGAUACUGGCAAGCUUGAGUCUCGUAGAGGGGGGUAGAAUUCCAGGUGUAGCGGUGAAAUGCGUAGAGAUCUGGAGGAAUACCGGUGGCGAAGGCGGCCCCCUGGACGAAGACUGACGCUCAGGUGCGAAAGCGUGGGGAGCAAACAGGAUUAGAUACCCCCGUAGUC